Molecule: transfer RNA, 68 nt
Filed under: Pseudomyrmex concolor
Lineage: Eukaryota; Metazoa; Arthropoda; Insecta; Hymenoptera; Formicidae
Description: tRNA-Arg
Source: RNAcentral
UCUUGCAAAGUAAGAAUUACACUUAGUUUCGACCUAAAAUAAGUCCAUAAAUAAUUGGACUGCAAGAU